GGGCACAUGGUGUAGUUGGUUUAUCACGCUCGCUUAGCAUGUGAUUUGCGAGAGGUGUCCGGUUCAAUUCCGGAUGUGUCCA
Russula aff. rugulosa BPL654 is the source of this 82-nucleotide non-coding RNA. The record is from the annotation of a GenBank genome assembly. Lineage: Eukaryota; Fungi; Basidiomycota; Agaricomycetes; Russulales; Russulaceae.